UCCACUUCGGUGGAGGACACCGGCGAAAGGGCUAGUAAUGGUAUCGAACGUACCCCGAGGUUGAGGAUAGCUGGGGGAAACUCCAGGUAAUACUCGAUAAGCUCUACGGAGGAAAGCUCCGGCGCCUUGGGAGCGGCGAUACUCCUAUCAGGUAGUUGGUGGGGUAAAGGCCUACCAAGCCAAAGACGGGUAGCGGGUGUGAGAGCAUGACCCGCAGCAUCGGGACUGAGACACUGCCCGGACUCCUACGGGAGGCUGCAGUAACGAAUCUUCCGCAAUGCGCGAAAGCGUGACGGAGCAAUGCCGCGUGUGGGAUGAAGCGGUUUCGCCGCGUAAACCACUGUCAGGUCCUAGGAAGAACUGACCGGGACCAGAGGAAGGGCCGGCUAAUCUCGUGCCAGCAGCCGCGGUAAGACGAGAGGCCCGAGCGUUAAUCAGAAUCACUGGGCUUAAAGGGUGCGUAGGCGGACUUGUAAGUGUCCUGUGAAAUCCCACGGCUCAACCGUGGAAUUGCGGGGCAAACUGUAAGUCUUGAGGCAGGUAGAGGUCGUCGGAACGUUCGGUGGAGCGGUGAAAUGCGUAGAUAUCGAACGGAACGCCGAAGGAGAAGUCAGACGACUGGGCCUGUCCUGACGCUCAGGCACGAAAGCGUGGGGAUCAAACAGGAUUAGAUACCCUGGUAGUCCACGCCGUAAACGAUGUGCACUAGACUGUUGCGGUUUUGACGCCGUGACGGUCGGAGAGAAAUUGUUAAGUGCACCGCCUGGGGAGUACGGUCGCAAGGCUAAAACUCAAAGGAAUUGACGGGGGCUCACACAAGCGGUGGAGCAUGUUGCUUAAUUCGAAGCA
Molecule: ribosomal RNA, 849 nt
Filed under: uncultured bacterium
Lineage: Bacteria
Description: bacterial SSU rRNA
Rfam family: Bacterial small subunit ribosomal RNA
Source: RNAcentral